Populus euphratica (Euphrates poplar) is the source of this 1873-nucleotide RNA transcript. It is a transcript of the gene named bystin-like, with no coding region annotated. The transcript is spliced from 13 exons. The record is from RefSeq and is a predicted model, not a curated record. Lineage: Eukaryota; Viridiplantae; Streptophyta; Magnoliopsida; Malpighiales; Salicaceae.
ACGUAAAAUCCACUACCACUAGGGUUUAUCAACAGGGCUUCUUCUUCUCCUUGUUUGAGAAGCAAAGCAAGCAGCAUUUUUCAGUCUUCCCAUCUCUAAAUUUCUACGACCAGCUCACUCCAUCUUCCAUCAAUGGGGAAGAAAAGAGAGAGGCACCAAAACCCAGAACCUUUCCUUCCAGAGGAUACAGACUCUAUUGCCUCCUCCACUAAAACACGAUCCAAAGCAUCAAAACACCACCAGAAACAGCAAAAAAUGAUAUCCUCGGGGAUGAGCUCGAAAAUCUUGAAGCAAGCGUUGAUUCAGCAGAAGGAGAUUCAAGCCGAGGAGAGAAACCCUAAUUUUAAUGCUCUAGAGGAAGAAUUGCCUGAGCCUGAAGGAGAGGAAUGUGCCGAGGAUCAAAUUGAUGAUUUUAGUGGCUUCUCCGAGACUCAAAGCCAGUUUAACGAUUAUCCUGAGGAGAUUGAUGAGAAUGAAGAGAAAUUGCUGGAGGCAUUCUUUUCAAAGGAUUCUGGUCCACAGCGAACACUUGCCGACCUUAUUAUUGAGAAAUUAAAAAAGACUGAUGCAAAUGUUUCCUCAGAGUUACAGCCUGUACCUAAGUUGGACCAGUCUCUGAUAGAUUUGUACAAGGGAGUUGGUGAGUAUCUGAGUAAAUACACAGCUGGAAAGAUACCUAAGGCAUUUAAGCACAUCCCUUCUAUGCAACUUUGGGAGGAUAUCUUGUACCUGACUGAACCUCAGAAAUGGUCACCAAAUGCAAUGUAUCAAGCCACUAGAAUCUUCUCUUCUAAUUUGGGUGCAAAGAAGGCAGAGCGUUUCUAUAGGCUUGUCUUACUUCCUAGGGUUAGAGAUGAUAUUAGGACGAAUAAGAGGCUGCAUUUCAGUCUGUAUCAAGCUUUAAAAAAGUCUCUGUAUAAACCUGCUGCGUUCAACAAGGGAAUAUUGCUUCCGUUGUGUAAGUCAGGGACGUGCACACUUAGGGAAGCUGUUAUUGUUGGAAGUAUUAUUCAAAAGGUCUCCAUUCCGAUGCUUCAUUCAUGUGUUGCACUGUUGAAGCUUGCAGAGAUGGAAUAUUGUGGCACAACAAGUUAUUUUAUCAAGCUUCUAAUGGACAAGAAAUAUGCCUUGCCAUAUCGUGUACUUGAUGCAGUUGUUGCUCAUUUCAUGAGAUUUCUUGAGGAUACAAGAAUAAUGCCUGUAAUUUGGCAUCAAUCACUUCUUUCAUUUGUGCAAAGAUACAAGAAUGAACUGCAGAAGGAAGAUAAAGAUAAUCUUAGAAGACUAGUUCUAAGGCAAAAGCAUAAACUAGUAUCUCCAGAAAUAAUCAGAGAGCUAGACAAUAGCCGCAAUCGUGGGGAGAAGGAUGAUCCCAUGUCAAUAACAUCUCCUGUCUCCGUGAUCAAUAAGACAAUUGAGGAAGAUAGGUUUGAUAUUCCAGAAGUACCUAUGGAGGAGGACUGAAUGCUUAGCCUUGGUUACUGACUGGGAGCUUUGAUGAGAUUCAGGCUUGCAUGUUUUUUGGGUGAAUUCAUAUUAUAUAUUAUAUGCAGUUGCUACCCUAGGGCAUGUCUCAUGCAGUCGUUUAUGUACAGCUCUGAGAAGGUGAAUUACAAUGUUGCCUGGAGCCCUUUUUCCUGGGGUGGAAAGAUUAAGCGGCAGUAAAUGCAGAUACUAGCUGCAUUAGCCUGGUUCGAUUCAACUGAGUCGUCUCUGGAAAAUGCUAUAGUUUUCUCAGAACUCUUACCCUGUUUAGUAGUUGGUGGAUGAGUUAGGCAUGCAAGCAUGUAUGAUCGAUAUACAUUUGAUAACUUGGGAUUUACUGGGCUGAACCUAUGCUGAACGAAUAUAAACCCGGCAAGCGCAUCUUGAA